GAUAAACGCUGGCGGCGUGCCUAACACAUGCAAGUCGAACGAUCCCGCAAGGGAGAGUGGCGGAAGGGUGAGUAACACGUGGGAAUCUACCUCCUCGCAGGGAACAACCUCUCGAAAGAGAGGCUAAUACCCAAAAGGGUCAGAAAUGAUCAGAGUCGAAAGGCGUGAGGAGAGGAGCCCGCGGCCCAUCAGCUAGUUGGUGAGGUAAUGGCUUACCAAGGCUACGACGGGUAGGGGAUCUGAGAGGAUGUCCCCCACACUGGAACUGAAACACGGUCCAGACGCCUACGGGUGGCAGCAGUGAGGAAUAUUGGACAAUGGGCGAAAGCCCGAUCCAGCAACGCCGCGUGGAGGAUGAAGGCCUUCGGGUCGUAAACUUCUUUAGAGGGAGACGAGAAAGGACGGUAUCCCUAGAAUAAGCGACGGCAAACUACGUGCCAGCAGCCGCGGUAAU
This 454-nucleotide ribosomal RNA is filed under the name uncultured bacterium. RNAcentral describes it as "bacterial SSU rRNA". It matches the Rfam family "Bacterial small subunit ribosomal RNA", at positions 28 to 524 of the family's 1533-position model. The record is from RNAcentral.